ACUCAAAUGAAUUGACGGGGGCCCGCACAAGCGGCGGAGCAUGUGGAUUAAUUCGAUGCAACGCGAAGAACCUUACCUGGGCUUGACAUGGACUAGAAAGCUCUAGAGAUAGAGCCUCCCUUGUGGCUGGUUCACAGGUGGUGCAUGGCUGUCGUCAGCUCGUGUCGUGAGAUGUUGGGUUAAGUCCCGCAACGAGCGCAACCCUCGUUCCAUGUUGCCAGCACGUAAUGGUGGGGACUCAUGGGAGACUGCCGGGGUCAACUCGGAGGAAGGUGGGGAUGACGUCAAGUCAUCAUGCCCCUUAUGUCCAGGGCUUCACACAUGCUACAAUGGCCGGUACAAAGGGCUGCUAAGCCGUGAGGUGGAGCGAAUCCCAUAAAGCCGGUCUCAGUUCGGAUCGGGGUCUGCAACUCGACCCCGUGAAGUCGGAGUCGCUAGUAAUCGCAGAUCAGCAACGCUGCGGUGAAUACGUUCCCGGGCCUUGUACACACCGCCCGU
RNAcentral lists this ribosomal RNA (498 nucleotides) under uncultured bacterium. RNAcentral's name for it is "partial 16S ribosomal RNA". It matches the Rfam family "Bacterial small subunit ribosomal RNA", at positions 899 to 1397 of the family's 1533-position model. The record is from RNAcentral.